UGGGACUGUGAAACAUGUCGCAGACUCC
Molecule: non-coding RNA, 28 nt
Filed under: Rattus norvegicus (Norway rat)
Lineage: Eukaryota; Metazoa; Chordata; Mammalia; Rodentia; Muridae
Source: RNAcentral